RNAcentral lists this ribosomal RNA (555 nucleotides) under uncultured bacterium. Its description in RNAcentral is "bacterial SSU rRNA". It matches the Rfam family "Bacterial small subunit ribosomal RNA", at positions 774 to 1324 of the family's 1533-position model. The record is from RNAcentral.
AGUGAAUAGAUACCCUGGUAGUCCACGCCCUAAACGACGUCAACUAGGUGUUGGGUGGGUAAAACCAUUUAGUACCGGAGCUAAACGCGUGAAAGUUGACCGCCUGGGGAGUACGGCCGCAAGGUUAAAACUCAAAGGAAUUGACGGGGACCCGCACAAGCGGUGGAUGAUGUGGAUUAAUUCGAUGCAACGCGAAAAACCUUACCUACCCUUGACAUGUCCAGGAGCCUGAAGAGAUUUGGGUGUGCCCGAAAGGGAACUGGAACACAGGUGCUGCAUGGCUAUCGUCAGCUCGUGUCGUGAGAUGUUGGGUUAAGUCCCGCAACGAGCGCAACCCUUGUCGUUAAUUGCCAUCAUUUGGUUGGGCACUUUAACGAGACUGCCGGUGACAAACCGGAGGAAGGUGGGGAUGACGUCAAGUCCUCAUGGCCCUUAUGGGUAGGGCUUCACACGUCAUACAAUGGUCGGUACAGAGGGUUGCCAAGCCGCGAGGUGGAGCCAAUCCCAGAAAGCCGAUCGUAGUCCGGAUCGCAGGCUGCAACUCGCCUGCGUGAA